AUAUAAGUGUCUCGUAUUUGGUUUAAAAGGGGAACAAUGAAGGGCGUGCCUCGUCUCUUACAAGACUGUGCAGUGCAUUCAAUUAUUUACAUUGCUUCCUGAAGCUUAGCUUAUUGGAGCUUAGAAUCAUACCUCUGUUGUCUGGUGAUGAAUUCUUUGAAGACGUAGUGGACUUAAUCGUAAUAGCUGGGCAAUUGUUUGAGAACAACCAGAACAUUUGAGCUAUUUGAGCAGCUUUCCUAGCAAAUGGAGAUGAGACCUAUCCUGUGUUUGGUACUGCUUCUACUACUGGUACACAAGCAACGAUGAGAGGUUGGGGUUGGCAUCCAUCUCAAGCCCUAUGACCAUGAGUAUUAGAGCAGUAACUUGUAGUACUUUUGGAUUACAAAAUUAGUUUCCUAUGAACCUAUCCAAUUUGAUUUUAUUGUUUUGCGUAUUUGUAUUUGUAAUGUUUUAACAAGCAGGAUUUGAUACCUUGUGUUGUGUUUUCGUAGUAAGUUUGGAACCUUGUUGUGCACAACUUAACUUUUAUAUGUGGUUUACAGGUUACUAGACUUAGUGUGGAUUA
Long non-coding RNA from Lotus japonicus, 568 nucleotides. RefSeq lists it as uncharacterized. The record is from RefSeq and is a predicted model, not a curated record. Lineage: Eukaryota; Viridiplantae; Streptophyta; Magnoliopsida; Fabales; Fabaceae. The transcript has 2 exons.